UCAUUUCUAGAAAAAAUUUACUAGUGAAAUGUACUAAGAAAUUUCAAACCUCAUCAUUUAUUAACUCUAAAAAAUCUGCUAUUCAUCGGUUUUGUUUCGAUUUUGCAAUUAUUAGUAGCAAUAACUAAUUCAAUUCCAUCACGAGGUGGACUUAUAAUCGGUAAAAAAAAAAAAAAAAAAAAAAAAAAACCAUAACGUAUUGAAUUUUGACAUUCAUAAAUUUUUGACCCACACGCUUUAGAUUCAUGUGUAACUUCGAUUUAAUUUCUUUUUGACUCUGCAAGAUUUUGGGAUCACGAUUGCAAUUGCUACAAACUAAAUAGAUCAUUAGUAAAUCGAAUGGAACAAAAAUAUAAUAUUAUAAAAGUU
This 369-nucleotide long non-coding RNA is filed under the name Salvia miltiorrhiza (redroot sage). RNAcentral's name for it is "long non-coding RNA (SMIL_LNC012833)". Lineage: Eukaryota; Viridiplantae; Streptophyta; Magnoliopsida; Lamiales; Lamiaceae. The record is from RNAcentral.